GAAUUCUAAGGACAAAACAAGAUUAAUCAAAUGAGGGCCGUGCAAUUAUCAUUUUUGUUCGACACGGCACACCUCUAAUUCUAAUUAAAAGAGAACUACAUUUGAAGCGAAUUGACUGCUAAUUAAAAGAACGUCAUUUUUGUAUCCCUGUGUACUCAAAGAACGUCGACUACUGAUUUAAAAAAUUCACCCAACAAUUCAGUGAUAUCUACACCAUUGUAAUGCAUCAUGUACCAUAGAACACUCGAUUUACAUAGCUUCAGAUUGUUCAAAUUAUUAUUUGACUUCAACAGGAUCUUUUCACAAGGAAACAAUUCUAAUACCUCAACAAAUUGCAUACUGGCAUAACACUCCAACACACACAAAAAGAUUUACAUGUACCUAUGAAUCACAGCACAUAUGCCUCUCAGUACAAACCUAAUGCCGAACGGACAGCAAAUUCGGACCAAAUUGUACUCGCAAAUCUCAACAGCAAACUCGACUGAACCCAAAUCUGUCCGGAAACCUUGCCGGAAAUCUCAGACCUCGUAUGAAAAUCUCACCGGAAACUUUAGAACCCACCCGAAUCUGAAAAUUAGAGCUUUGACGCGACUAAAUUUCAAGCAAAAUUAACAAGCAGGACGAACCAAAUGCUGUGGCCGAGAUCGGAAAUGGAUGAAAACCGAGCGAACCAAAUCUUGACGAUAUACAACGACAGACUCAAACAAAAUCAAACGAGACCUCGAACGGAUGUCAGCUCUUAGUCAGGCUCGAACCAACAAAAACACACACGGGUUCCAUGAUGAGACAGAAAUUGAAACCGAAAGGGAGACAAUUCAAACCUAUAUUAUUGUUUAUCUUUUCGAAUUCGAGACAGAAUGAAGCAAGAAAAAUCCGAACUGCUCUGUUUAUUACUCAUUCUUUCAUGUGUGUGUGUGUUGAAGGUGAAGCUCGUCGGAGAUGGAAGGUCGUUUGUCUUUGCUGGAUUUCCAAUUUUUUUUUAAAGCAUCAGAACGAUGGGACUCUCCCCUUUAUUGUAACCGCUGCCCAAUUUUCAGGCGUUAUUU
This 1046-nucleotide long non-coding RNA is filed under the name Nicotiana benthamiana. RNAcentral describes it as "long non-coding RNA (NBEN_LNC010576)". The record is from RNAcentral. Lineage: Eukaryota; Viridiplantae; Streptophyta; Magnoliopsida; Solanales; Solanaceae.